Molecule: transfer RNA, 75 nt
Filed under: Siphoviridae sp. ctL0q1
Lineage: Duplodnaviria; Heunggongvirae; Uroviricota; Caudoviricetes
Description: tRNA-Met
Rfam family: tRNA
About the family: Transfer RNA (tRNA) molecules are approximately 80 nucleotides in length.
Source: RNAcentral
CGCGGAAUGACGAGCAAUUGGACGCUCAUCUGACUCAUUAUCAGAGGUAUGCAGGUUCGAAUCCUGCUUCCGCAA